This is a long non-coding RNA of Magnolia sinica, 887 nucleotides long. RefSeq lists it as uncharacterized. The record is from RefSeq and is a predicted model, not a curated record. The transcript has 3 exons. NCBI's taxonomy places the organism in Eukaryota, Viridiplantae, Streptophyta, Magnoliopsida, Magnoliales, Magnoliaceae.
CUUGUAGCCUACAUGUUUGUGUGAGCAUGAAGUGUUUUUUACCAACCAUCCCUUAUCUACUUGGCAUGAGAACAGAAUAAUGAAACUUUGCAUGGUAUUGCAUUUUUAAUUUUAACUUUUAUUUAUUUAUUUUGGCAGCUGUUGAACCAUGUCAGGAAAUGUCAAUAGUGCAGCCCAAUUCAGAGUAAUGGAAGAAUCUCUGAUGAAAUCUCUUUAUUCACAUCGGGAACACUAGAGACAUCACUGUUGGCAGUUAACUAAUCAUGGCAAUAUAUGGGAGCUAGUGAAGAUCUCAACUUUUCGAUGGCUCAAUGAGAUGCCACAUACUUGAAGUUUCAGAUACAUGUUGAAUCUUGAUCUCCAAUCUUCCUAUCGAUGACCCAGCUACAAUUUUGCACCUUCCAACAAAAUACCAUUCUAUGAACGGAUUCGACGAAACUUCCAUCCGAUACAAUAGCUUGGAUUAGAGAAGCCAGACCUGGUACCUUUCAUCCCUUCCAUGUUCAAGUAUUUGAGGGAAAGGGGGAUGCAAGUCGAAGUAAAGGUUGUCUACAUUGCAAUUGAGGCUCUUUGGCUUCAUACAUUCAUGGAUGUGGCCCCCUAGACUGCAUGGACAAACGAUCAAGACCACCAUCCAUCUGCUCGCCCCUACCGUUGUGGGUGAUUGUACAGAAGACGGAGAAUCCGUUCUACCUUAUUUCAGUUGCAGUCAGAUCAUGAAGACCAGCAUAUACACACACCUACUGUUUGUGGGUGAUUGUACAAAAAACAUGUGGAUAGGAGAAUCCUAGCUGCCCAAUUUUCUCUGUUGAAUGUGAUAUUUAUACAGUUUGUACAAAAAAUGGCUGAUUUUUGUCAUCACCCGUUUGCUUGGAGGCUCUUACUCA